GCUGGGCGAGGGGUACAUGCCUGUAGUCCCAGCUACUCGGGAGGCUGAGGCUGGAGGAUUGCUUGAGUACAGGAGUUCUGGGCUAUAGUGUGCUAUGCCGAUCGGGUGUCCGCACUAAGUUCAGCAUCAAUAUGGUAAACUCCUGGGACCAGGGGACCACCAGGUUGCCUAAGGAGGGGUGAACUGGCCCAGGUUGGAAACGGAGCAGGUCAAAACUCCCGUGCUGAUCAAUAGUGGAAUAGCCACUGCACUCCAGCCUGGGCAACAUAGUGAGACCCCAUCCCUA
This is an unclassified non-coding RNA of Callithrix jacchus (white-tufted-ear marmoset), 286 nucleotides long. It matches the Rfam family "Metazoan signal recognition particle RNA". Rfam says of the family: The signal recognition particle (SRP) is a universally conserved ribonucleoprotein. It is involved in the co-translational targeting of proteins to membranes. The record is from Ensembl. NCBI's taxonomy places the organism in Eukaryota, Metazoa, Chordata, Mammalia, Primates, Cebidae.